Molecule: ribosomal RNA, 772 nt
Filed under: Tricholoma sp. BAB-4947
Lineage: Eukaryota; Fungi; Basidiomycota; Agaricomycetes; Agaricales; Tricholomataceae
Description: eukaryotic LSU rRNA
Rfam family: 5.8S ribosomal RNA (bases 286-439)
Source: RNAcentral
GUAAACAAGGUUUCCGUAGGUGAACCUGCGGAAGGAUCAUUAUUGAUUAAAUCUGGUCAGGCUAGCUGCUGGCUUUUCGGAGUAUGUGCACGCCUGUCCAUUUUUAUUUUAACCACCUGUGCACUCCUUGUAGAUCUGAAAUUUUACUCAGGUUCACCAACCUGGUUAGAGGAAUUGCUAUAUCAUAGCUGUCCUUGAUUUUCAGACCUAUGUCUUUAUUAUACACCAUAAAUAUAAUAGAAUGUUUAAUGAUUAAGGCUUGAUUGCCUUUUAAUAACAUUAUACAACUUUCAACAACGGAUCUCUUGGCUCUCGCAUCGAUGAAGAACGCAGCGAAAUGCGAUAAGUAAUGUGAAUUGCAGAAUUCAGUGAAUCAUCGAAUCUUUGAACGCACCUUGCGCUCCUUGGUAUUCCGAGGAGCAUGCCUGUUUGAGUGUCAUUAAAUUCUCAACCUAUUCAGCUUUUUUCAAAAGUUGUAGUAGGCUUGGACUGUGGGGGUUUUGCAGGUUUCGCAAGAAAUCAGCUCCUCUCAAAUAUAUUAGCAGAACCUUUUGUGGAUCAGCAUUGGUGUGAUAAUUAUCUACGCCAUUUACUGUGAAGCACCUUUGAAUAGAAGGGGGUUUGGCUUAUAACAGUUCAUUAACUUGAACAAUUUUUCUGAUAUUUGACCUCAAAUCAGGUAGGACUACCCGCUGAACUUAAGCAUAUCAAUAAGCGGGAGGGAAAAGAAACUAACAAGGAUUCCCCUAGUAACUGCGAGGAAAGCGGGGAA